CCCUCCAUCCCUCCCUCCCUCUCUUCUUUCUUCUUUUCUUUUUUUCCAUUUUAUUGGAUAGGGCAGAGAGAAAUUGAGAGGAGAGGGGGAGACAGAGAGGAAGAGAGAAUGAUAGACACCUGCAGACCUGCCUUUUUUUUUUUUUUUUUUUUUUUUUGUGAAGCUCCCUCCUUACAGCGAGGGAGCUGGGGGCUUGAACCUUGAUUUCCUUCUUUCUCUAUCACUUUCUCUCUACCUUUCUUUAUCCAAAUAAAUAACAUAUAUAUAUGUAUAUAUAUAUAUGAAUUUAAGGGGGCCAGGUGGUGUUGCACCUGGUUGAGGGCACAUGUUAUAAUGCACAAAGACCCGGAUUCAAGCUCCUGGUCCCCACCUGCAGGGGAGAAGCUUCACAAGUGGUGAAGCAGUGUUGCAGCUGUCUCUUUGUCUACCCUCUCUAUCAACCCCCUUCCUCUCAAUUUCUGGCUGGUCUCUAUCAAAUAAAUAAAAAUUAAAAAAUAAUUAAAAAAUAAAAAAGAAUUUAAGGAAAUAACUUUAUUGGAUCCUCAAAUUCUGUCGUAUUAAAAACAAACAAACAAAAGAACAAACUUCAAGUUUUGGUAGAGUGUUUUGAAGGAAAAGCUUACUUCUGACUCCAUUCAUGCCUGCUCUAUGAAGUCAUUGGUAAUGUAACUUCUGAAUUGUGCUGAAUAGAUUAUGACCAGGCUGGGUUUAAAAGGUAAUGCAGCCACCCACCCCCACCCCAAAUGACUAACUAGAAUGAGCAAAGCUUCGGAUGAAUUGUCUCGUGUUACCCACUUGCAUAUGACUGUACCAGGCGCUUGGCUGGGCAUAAUUACUAUGUAUCUGCUCUUCUCGACAGUAACUGGUCAACAUGUUCAACAGCUUUCAGAGGCCCCGCUUGCAAUGGGAAAGUGGCACUUUGUAAUCAGCAAAGAAAGGAUCUUCAUCUUCCUGCUCUUGGCCCAAGUGGGCACCUUGGAUAUGAAGCUGGUACUUCCCAGACAGCAAGGCGAGCUCAGAGAAGGAUCACCGUCGACUCCUGAAUGUGCUGUCAAAAACUAGCUGCCGGAAGGUCUGGUGGAUGACAAACCAUCAGUCUUGUGUUGGCCAAGGAAAUAACCCCAUUUCUGCAGCUGUCUACCACAUCUUGACUAAAUAUAGGGUCGAGGUGACAAGUGCUUCAAAGGUUUCUUAUUCGCUAAUUUAGGAAGAAGUGGAGUUCUUUGCACAAGCAAAGAAACAUAGAGGAAGAGAAAAGGAGAGAUACCCACAGUGCUGUUCCACCACUCAUGAAGCUUACUCCUUGCAGGAAACUAGACUUGGUGGUUUGAAAAUAUGUCUGCAAAUACUUUAACACUUCUGUCAAGAGAAGACUUGGAUUUAGGUGCUGACUGCCCUGGCAUCACCAGAUCUGUGAAAAAUCUAAUUCAUGAGCAGGCUCUAAGUUCUGGAUCUUCCCUGGGAGACUGAAGAUGUUAGUCAAGCUGAAACUGUGUGGCUUGCAAUUGCUUUGGGGGAGGAGUUGUUGAAAUGUAUCCUGUAUUUUAGAAAGAGAUAAUAUUGGUCCCUUCAUGUUUUAUCUUCCAAAUAUUCUUCUGGUAUAAGCAUUUUGCUUAUCAUGCUAUUGUUCAUUUUUCUUGCUUUCUUUGAGAUGUUUUUCUCCCAAGAGAAAUGUGAUUCUAGGUUAUUAGGUCAUUUCCUUUUUUUUUUUUUUUUUGUAGAUUUAUUUAUUCUCAUAUGGAGGGGAGAGAGAGAGAAGAGAGGAGAGAGAGAGAGAGAGAGAGAGAGAGAGAGAGAGAGAGAGACUUGAACAUUGCUCUGCUUUGGCAUACCCUUGUGUUAGGAAUUGAACCUCAGAGCUUCAGGCAUGCAAGUCUGUACUAUGUCCCUGGCCCUCAAAGUCAUUCCUAACUCCUCAUUUACUUGGUUUUAAAACUGCUGGGUUAUUAAUGCCUUUAUUCUAAAUAGAUGUGUGUUAGUCCCCUGUCUUUCCUAGAACUCUGCACACAGAGCUGUUCUUUCAUUUUGUUUCCUCCACACAAGUGUCAUCACUAAUGUAAAUACCAGGCCUUUAGCUCAGAGGAAAUGAAGGGAAGUAAGGAUUCUAGUCACAUACAAGCUCAGGUCAGGGGAGAUCACCUAGGUAUCCUGGGUGCUGGGAAUCCGGUGUUUAGUGAGUAGCAUAAUUACAUCACUACAGGAUGUGUAUAGCACCAAAGGAAUUCUAACACUAGCUCACACAUAUCAGAAAGGCAGAGAGGGCAUGUGCUUCUGGAUGGCUGCUCAGAUGUGAGGUAGUUGGAAUAUUCUUUUGAAGGACAAUUUAGGGCUUUCUAGGUGGAGCAGAGGGUAU
This is a long non-coding RNA of Erinaceus europaeus (western European hedgehog), 2353 nucleotides long. RefSeq lists it as uncharacterized. The record is from RefSeq and is a predicted model, not a curated record. Lineage: Eukaryota; Metazoa; Chordata; Mammalia; Eulipotyphla; Erinaceidae. The transcript is spliced from 5 exons.